AAAUCUCGACCGGGGCGACAGCAAUAUGAAGGUCAAGGCUGAAGACCUUACCGGAUUAGCUGAGAGGUGGUGCAUGGCCGUCGUCAGUUCGUACUGUGAAGCACCCUGUUAAGUCAGGCAACGAGCGAGACCCACGCCCACAGUUGCCAGCGUACUCUCUGGAGUGACGGGUACACUGUGGGACCGCCGCUGCUAAAGCGGAGGAAGGAAUGGGCAACGGUAGGUCAGUAUGCCCCGAAUAUCCCGGGCUACACGCGAGCUACAAUGGUUGGUACAAUGGGUAUCUACCCCGAAAGGGGACGGGAAUCUCCUAAAACCAAUCUUAGUUCGGAUUGAGGGCUGCAACUCGCCCUCAUGAAGCUGGAAUCCGUAGUAAUCGCGUUUCAACAGAACGCGGUGAAUACGUCCCUGCUCCUU
RNAcentral lists this ribosomal RNA (417 nucleotides) under uncultured Methanosaeta sp. Its description in RNAcentral is "bacterial SSU rRNA". It matches the Rfam family "Archaeal small subunit ribosomal RNA", at positions 922 to 1338 of the family's 1478-position model. The record is from RNAcentral. Lineage: Archaea; Methanobacteriati; Methanobacteriota; Methanomicrobia; Methanotrichales; Methanotrichaceae.